CCUACGGGUGGCAGCAGUGAGGAAUAUUGGUCAAUGGGCGCGAGCCUGAACCAGCGAAGUAGCGUGAAGGAUGACUGCCCUACGGGUUGUAAACUUCUUUUAUAAAGGAAUAAAGUGAGGCACGUGUGCCUUUUUGUAUGUACUUUAUGAAUAAGGAUCGGCUAACUCCGUGCCAGCAGCCGAGUUAAUACGGAGGAUCCGGGCGUUAUCCGGAUUUAUGGGGUUUAAAGGGAGCGUAGAUUGGUUGUUAAGUCAGUUGUGAAAGUUUGCGGCUCAACCGUAAAAUUGCAAUUGAUACUGGCAGCCUUGAGUACAGUUGAGGUAGGCGGAAUGCGGGGUGUAGCGGUGAAAUGCUUAGAUAUCACGAAGAACUCCGAUUGCGAAGGCAGCUUACUAAACUGCCACUGACAUUGAUGCUCGAAAGUGUGGGUAUCAAACAGGAUUAGAUACCCCUGUAGUC
This 460-nucleotide ribosomal RNA is filed under the name uncultured bacterium. RNAcentral's name for it is "partial 16S ribosomal RNA". It matches the Rfam family "Bacterial small subunit ribosomal RNA", at positions 338 to 795 of the family's 1533-position model. The record is from RNAcentral.